RNAcentral lists this ribosomal RNA (251 nucleotides) under uncultured bacterium. Its description in RNAcentral is "partial 16S ribosomal RNA". It matches the Rfam family "Bacterial small subunit ribosomal RNA", at positions 526 to 776 of the family's 1533-position model. The record is from RNAcentral.
CGUAGGAUGCAAGCGUUGUCCGGAAUUACUGGGCGUAAAGCGCGUGUAGGUGGUGGGACAAGUCUGCUGUGAAAGCGCCUGGCUUAACCGGGCGAGGUCGGCGGAAACUGUUCGACUCGAGGACGGUAGAGGGGGGUGGAAUUCCCGGUGUAGUGGUGAAAUGCGUAGAGAUCGGGAGGAACACCUGUGGCGAAGGCGGCCCCCUGGGCCGGCCCUGACACUGAGACGCGAAGGCGUGGGGAGCGAACGGG